CUGGCGAGGCCGGUACUGACGCUCAGGCACGAAAGCGUGGGGAUCAAACAGGAUUAGAUACCCUGGUAGUCCACGCAGUAAACGAUGAUAACUUGUUGUCGGCGAUAGAGUGUCGGUGACAAAGCGAAAGCGAUAAGUUAUCCACCUGGGGAGUACGAUCGCAAGGUUGAAACUCAAAGGAAUUGACGGGGGCCCGCACAAGCGGAGGAGCAUGUGGUUUAAUUCGAUGAUACGCGAGGAACCUUACCUGGACUCAAAUGUUGACUGACAGGACCAGAAAUGGUCUCUUCCUUCGGGACAGUUAGCAAGGUGCUGCAUGGUUGUCGUCAGCUCGUGCCGUGAGGUGUCAGGUUAAGUCCUAUAACGAGCGCAACCCCUACGUCCGGUUGCCAGCGGGUAAAGCCGGGGACUCUGGAGGGACUGCCGGCGCAAGCCGAGAGGAAGGUGGGGAUGACGUCAAAUCAGCACGGCCCUUACGUCCAGGGCGACACACGUGCUACAAUGGCCGGUACAGAGGGCAGCCACCUGGCGACAGGGAGCGAAUCUCGAAAGCCGGUCUCAGUUCGGAUCGGAGUCUGCAACUCGACUCCGUGAAGUUGG
RNAcentral lists this ribosomal RNA (600 nucleotides) under uncultured bacterium. RNAcentral's name for it is "bacterial SSU rRNA". It matches the Rfam family "Bacterial small subunit ribosomal RNA", at positions 725 to 1329 of the family's 1533-position model. The record is from RNAcentral.